UUGCUGUGAUGGCCCGUGGCGGAAGUGUUAACGCUGUUAGCUUUUCAAUCCCUUCGGGGAGCGUGUUCCUGUUACAGUUUUGGACGAUGUCCGGUUCGAUCCUUGCGGUAGAAGGUCUUUUCGGAGAAUUUCUGCGGGUUUGGGUAGCCAACCUUAGCGGCCUUCGGCAGCGAACGGCGGUACCACUGGAGGGGAGCAAUCCAGCACAGUGCGUCAACCGUGAGGAGGCGAGCCGGGUGGCAUCUCGCUGGUCUUGCAAGGGCAUGGAGGAGCCUGUUAAACACACGACCCCCAACUU
Molecule: signal recognition particle RNA, 298 nt
Filed under: Babjeviella inositovora NRRL Y-12698
Lineage: Eukaryota; Fungi; Ascomycota; Pichiomycetes; Serinales
Description: Fungal signal recognition particle RNA
Rfam family: Fungal signal recognition particle RNA
Source: Rfam by way of RNAcentral